ACAGUGUAGGAGAGGAAACAAAUGUAUCUCAGAGUGUAAAUGGAGGUCACAGUGGUGAGUGAGUGCUCAGUGUGGGAACUGGGAGCAGUGGGGAGCAGAGACCUGCAGCUGUAGAAACCCCACAGCUCCCAGAACAGCUCCUAGGGAAGGAAGGGACUCUCCAGCCCAGCGUGUAUGGAUGUGAAAAUACUUAAUUAUGGCUGCUUUUACUCUGUUGCUGUUUUCUUCCUCAGAAAAAUUCUCUUUUAGUUCCCAGAUAGGAAGGCAUUAUGUUGCUGCUGUCACUGGCUACCCUCAUGCCAUCUCAAGCACCUUCGGAUGAGUGGCCUUCCUCUCCCUUGACUGACCCUUGACUGGAAAUAGUGACUGGAGGGAGAGGCAGUGAGUAAAUCUCAUGUGGUACCUGUGAGGCUUUAGAGGCCUUCAGCAUGGGAGAGGCAAGUGCCUAUGCAGCACCCUGAGAGCUGACUGUUUCAGUAGUGCCAAACUGAUGUUUGUUCAGCUGUGUCUGACAAGGAAAUUUGUUUUUACCUCUAGCUUCUGUUUGCUUUGGUUUCUUCUACUUUACUGGCAUUUCUUGGAUGUUUGUUUUGACUCCUCUUCCCAUUUUUUCUGAACUCAAGGGUCUCCAUGUGCUUUCCAUGUGGUGACUUCCAGAGAGCAGGAGGGUGACCGCCGCCUGUGUCCUCUGCACAUGUCCUCACACAGGCCAUGACCAAGCUCCCCCAAAGAUGGCCAAGCCUUUCUGAGUGGUACCCUAGGAGAAGCAGAUCACUGCAUCACAACGGUUGCCAUGCUGGGAUAGGCCCAUGCAGAAAUGGGUGUGGAUGCACACUGGUCACUUCUAGGCACCCACAGCUGAGGACUUGCUCACAGCAUGAACACUAGGAAGUUAAAGAAGAUCUGGAGGUACUGGAAAAGAAAUCCCAUAGGAUACAUACAACAUUUGACACACAAGAAAAAGCAAAGUCAGGGAAGCACAGGAAGCUUGCAAAGCAGAUCAAUAAGAAUGUACAUUUUGAGGUGCCCUCCACCGUCCCCCCUGCCAAAAAAACAGAUUCAAUCACCUGCCAUAAAUAACCGUCAUGCCAAGAUAGAAGUUUGCUUUUGAAUAAGAUUUUGCUAAGACACUGAACUGACUGAACUGUUUUAUUAUUGCUUGAAAAAGAC
RNAcentral lists this long non-coding RNA (1170 nucleotides) under Numida meleagris (helmeted guineafowl). RNAcentral describes it as "lncRNA (ENSNMEG00000018852.1)". Lineage: Eukaryota; Metazoa; Chordata; Aves; Galliformes; Numididae. The record is from RNAcentral.